This 449-nucleotide ribosomal RNA is filed under the name uncultured bacterium. RNAcentral's name for it is "partial 16S ribosomal RNA". It matches the Rfam family "Bacterial small subunit ribosomal RNA", at positions 29 to 523 of the family's 1533-position model. The record is from RNAcentral.
AGCGAACGCUGGCGGCAGGCUUAACACAUGCAAGUCGCACGGGCACUUCGGUGUCAGUGGCAGACGGGUGAGUAACACGUGGGAACGUACCUUUUGGUUCGGAACAACUGAGGGAAACUUCAGCUAAUACCGGCUAAGCCCUUACGGGGAAAGAUUUAUCGCCGAAAGAUCGGCCCGCGUCUGAUUGGCUAGUUGGUAGGGUAAGGGCCUACCAAGGCGACGAUCAGUAGCUGGUCUGAGAGGAUGAUCGGCCACAUUGGGACUGAGACACGGCCCAAACUCCUACGGGAGGCAGCAGUGGGGAAUAUUGGACAAUGGGGGCAACCCUGAUCCAGCCAUGCCGCGUGAGUGAUGAAGGCCCUAGGGUUGUAAAGCUCUUUUGUGCGGGAAGAUAAUGACGGUACCGCAAGAAUAAGCCCCUGCUAACUUCGUGCCAGCAGCCGCAGUAA